AGAGGCCCUGCGGGGGGAAGAAGGUGAGGGACGUUUUAACUGGAUAGCAGUACUGUCUGGGUUUAGAGACUCCACAGAAGACCCGAGUGACGGACGAGAGUCGAGUUGGACCUUCCGGUCGGGAAUCACGCUUUUUUGAAGGCAAUUCGUUGGAGUCGAAAUCGCAGACGCAAGAUAAGCAGUAGGAACAUUAUUCUUUUAUUUAUUGUCUUACUUACAUUAUUGUCUUAAUGAUGUGGAAAGGCAAAGAUAGGAGAGGUUGUGUGGAUCGAUACCUGCCACGUGGGCGAGUGGGUAACUCUGGUUAGUGUCCCUGGGGAUUCCUUUUUAACCACGGUCAGGUUAAAAAUAGUCCAGAACUUUCAUUAUGUGAAAAUUCUGGAAAAAUAGUCCCAACUACCUAAGGGAAUUAAGAAGUAGGCCUACAGAUUCUCCGCAUGGCCUGAGUGAGGCCCAAGGAGCUAGGCCGCCCUGGAAUUAAACCCUUAGAAGUAGUAUGACCUGUACAAUUUUGUGCCUUUCGUUGUCUGGUCUAGGGGGUAGUACAUACGCCAAGCGUGAUUGGCUUGGUUUAAGCCAUUUCAGGGGAGGUGUCGCCUUUCAUUGUCUGGUCCAGGGGUAAUACACACGGCAAGCUUAAUCAACUUGACGGAGCCGGCUCGGGGAGGGUGUCUAAUGUAAAGGCUCGAAACACCCGACGAUCCGAGAGUGCAUUACUGAUGAUGUGUCCUGGCACAUGAUAAUGAGAGGUUUCGAUUUUCCUAUACAAGCAGCUGGCUUAGGAGCUCAGACUUUAAAUUCUGCAGACUAACCUUUGCCAGCUAAACAUAUAGAUCCACCAGCCCUACACUUAAACCUAAUCCUAAAGUCCAAAAGGGGCAUACACCCCCAUAAAUAGGCAAAUUCCAAGAGGGGUAGUCACCCCCAUAAACCCUAGGCAACUUCCAAGGGGGGCAUACACCCCCACAAACCCUAGGCAUUCCCCGAUUAACUUUUGAUAUUCUGAGAGGGGUAGGAUUCAACAAGGGCAAGUGUGGGACCUGGUUAAUGAAGGCGUGGGCCAGAUCAAAGUGGCAGGGUGAUGUGAAACAGAAUCUCAAGUGAGGAGAUCAGAAAUCACAAGAGGGCUUUUUAGCCCACUGCCCGCAUAAUUUCAACCUAACCUAUCAGUGACACGCUCUUCAUUCUCCCGGCCCCAGAAAGGCCAAUAAGAAAACCCAGAUAUUUUAUUUCACCUAUUAGGUGUUCAAAAAUUCAUAGUUAAAAGAAUGGAGAGGUUCACCAAUCAGCAGCUAAUGUACCUUUAAGGGCUGAGGUGAGCCGGUCUCCUAGCAACAGCCAGGUUUGCAGCAGGUGGACAAUUAGGUUUUAGUAUCACAUUAGUUAAAAGAGGCCCUGCGGGGGGAAGAAGGUGAGGGACGUUUUAACUGGAUAGCAGUACUGUCUGGGUUUAGAGACUCCACAGAAGACCCGAGUGACGGACGAGAGUCGAGUUGGACCUUCCGGUCGGGAAUCACGCUUUUUUGAAGGCAAUUCGUUGGAGUCGAAAUCGCAGACGCAAGAUAAGCAGAUUUGUUACUCAAGUAAUAUCACUGUGCACAGUACUGGGUCUGCGAUUGGAUCCCUGCUCCAGCGCACUGACACCUACCGAAGUAACAAGUCUACAGCAGAUGCCAUCUUGUUGGCUCUGGAACAUCUGGACUGCAAAGUAUAGUUGGAGAAUGAAGACUUUACCAAAGUUCGGGAGCCUGAAGGAUUAAGUGGAGUCGGUGUCGGCAGCUUUGUUAAGGAUUCGACUUUAUUGAGUCUUCGGUCCAGAAAAGUGACCUGCCCUCUGAGAUAGCCUCUGCAAGAGCAGGAAGGCUUUGGGCAGUAUUCAUUGCUCAGAAUAAAAAGACUGGACUGUAUUCAGGAAUUCAUCUUUGAAUCUGGAUGAGUAUGUUGCAGUUCAUUAAAACCUGUUUGGAUGAGUGUGUGCCUACAAGACUUACUAUACAUUCCCAAACCAAAAGUAGUGGAUAAACCAGGAGGUACAUCGUCUGCUGAAGGGUACAUCUGUGGCAUUCAAGUCCGGCAAACCAAGCCUGUACCGGAAAACCAGGUAUGAUUCGCGGACAGCUAUCUCAAGGGUGAAGAGACAAUUUCGAAUGAGCUUGGAGGCAACAUUGGAUACACUGCAACUCUGGCAGGGUCUGCAGGACAUUACUUUCUAUAAAGUGAAACCCAAUAGCAUGAAAGUCAGCAAUGCUUCACUACCAGAUGAACUCAACGCCUUCUAUGCACAGUUUGAAAGGCAGAACACGACUAUGUCUGUGAAGAUCCCUGCUGCACCUGAUGACCCUGUGAUCUUCAUCUCAGAGGCCAAUGAUAGGCAGUCUUUAAAGAGAGUGAACCCUUGCAAGGCGAAAGGUCCUGAUGGAGGUAAGGUUCUGAAAACCUGUGCCAACCAAUUAGCGGGAGUAUUCAAGGACAUUUUCAUCCUCUCAUUGCUACAGGUGAAAGUUCCCACUUGCUUCAAAAAGGCAACAAUUAUACCAGUGCCUAAGAAGAAUAAUGUGGGCUGCCUUAAUGACUUUCACCUAGUAGCACUCACAUCAACAGUGAUGAAAUGCUUUGAUAGGCUGGUCAUGACUAGACUGAACUCCUGCCUCAGCAAGGACCUGGACCCAUUGCAAUUUGCCUAUUGCCACAAUAGUUCAAUGUAGAUGCAAUCCCAAUGGCUCUCCAAAUGGCUUUAGACCACCUGGACAACAUAAACACCUAAGUCAGGAUGCUGUUCAUUGACUAUAGCUCAGUAUUCAAUCCCAUUAUUCACACAAUCCUGAUUGAGAAGUUGCAGAACCUGGGCUUCUGUACCUCCCUCUGCAAUUGGAUCCUUGACUUCCUAACUGGAAGACCACAACCUCUGCGGAUCGGUGAUAACAUAUCUUCCUCGCUGACGAUCAACACUGGUGCACUUCAGGGGUGUGUGCUUUGCCCGCUGCUUUACCCUCUAUAUACACAUGUCAGUGUGACUAGGCAUAGCUCAAAUAUUAUCUAUAAAUUUGCUGACAAUACAACCUUUGUCGGUAGAAUCUCAGGUGGUGACGAGAGGGCAUACAGGAGUGGGCUAUACCAACUAGUGGAGUGGUGCCACAGCAACAACCUGGCACUCGACGUCAGUAAGACGAAAGAGCUGAUUGUGAACUUCAGGAAGGGUAAGACAAAGGAACACAUACAAUCCUCAUGGAGGGAUCAGAAGUGGAGAGAGUGAGCAGUUUCAAUGUGUCUGAGGAUCUAUCUGGUCCCAGCAUAUCAAUGUAGUUAUGAUGAAGAGCCUCAAUAGAGUGAUGGUACGACCGUGGUGGGUCUCAUCAGCAAGAAUGACAUGUCAGCUUACAGGGAGGAGCUGCAGAGCCAACAACCUGUCUCUUAAUGUGAACAAAACAAAAGAGAUGGUUGAUGACUUCAGGAGGGCACGGAGUGACCACUCCCUGUUGAACAUCGACGGCUCCUCGGUAGAGAUCAUAAAGAGCACCAAAUUUCUUGGUGUUCACUUGACGGAGCAUCUCACCUGGUCCCUCAACACCUGCUCCAUAGCAAAUAAAGCCCAGCAGCAUCUCUACUUUCUGCAAAGACUGAGGAAAGUCUAUCUCCCAGCCUCCAUCCUCCAUCUACAGGGGUUGUAUUGAGAGCAUCCUGAGCAACUGCAUCACUGCCUGGUUCAGAAAUUGCACCAUCUCGGAUCGCAAGACCCUGCAGCGGAUAGUGAGGUCAGCUGAGAAGAUCAUCGGGGUCUCUCUUCCCGCCAUCACGGACAUUUACACUACACUCUGCAUCCGCAAAGGAAACAACAUUAUGAAGGACCCCAUGCACCCCUCAUACAAUCUCCUGCCGUCUGGGAAAAGGCUCUGAAGCUUUGGGCUCUCACGGCCAGACUAUGUAACAGUUUCUUCCCC
Long non-coding RNA from Hypanus sabinus (Atlantic stingray), 3938 nucleotides. RefSeq lists it as uncharacterized. The record is from RefSeq and is a predicted model, not a curated record. NCBI's taxonomy places the organism in Eukaryota, Metazoa, Chordata, Chondrichthyes, Myliobatiformes, Dasyatidae. The transcript has 5 exons.